Molecule: ribosomal RNA, 484 nt
Filed under: uncultured bacterium
Lineage: Bacteria
Description: partial 16S ribosomal RNA
Rfam family: Bacterial small subunit ribosomal RNA
Source: RNAcentral
AUUGAACGCUGGCGGCAGGCCUAACACAUGCAAGUCGAGCGGAUGAAGGGAGCUUGCUCCUGGAUUCAGCGGCGGACGGGUGAGUAAUGCCUAGGAAUCUGCCUGGUAGUGGGGGAUAACGUCCGGAAACGGGCGCUAAUACCGCAUACGUCCUGAGGGAGAAAGUGGGGGGUCUUCGGACCUCACGCUAUCAGAUGAGCCUAGGUCGGAUUAGCUAGUUGGUGGGGUAAAGGCCUACCAAGGCGACGAUCCGUAACUGGUCUGAGAGGAUGAUCAGUCACACUGGAACUGAGACACGGUCCAGACUCCUACGGGAGGCAGCAGUGGGGAAUAUUGGACAAUGGGCGAAAGCCUGGUCCAGCCAUGCCGCGUGUGUGAAGAAGGUCUUCGGAUUGUAAAGCUCUUUAAGUUGGGAGGAAGGGCAGUAAGUUAAUACCUUGCUGUUUUGACGUUACCAACAGAAUAAGCACCGGCUAACUUCGUG